This 211-nucleotide long non-coding RNA is filed under the name Olea europaea (common olive). RNAcentral describes it as "long non-coding RNA (OEUR_LNC012079)". The record is from RNAcentral. Lineage: Eukaryota; Viridiplantae; Streptophyta; Magnoliopsida; Lamiales; Oleaceae.
AAACGAUUUUUCUGUUUUUCCUCACUUGAUACAGUGUGUAUUACCUUGUCAAUAUGUUGAGUUGGUUUCAUUAGAUCUUCAGCUCUUCUCUUACAGCCAUUAUGAUAUGAUGAAGAUGUUGUACCAAUAUGAACAAGAAAUGCACAUUUACUUCCCUGGCCAACCCUCUUCCAACUAUCAAAUCCAACAGUAACCAAUGAUGAAAUAUUAG